UUCGUGUGAUUGGUGGCCUGCGGUUACCUGUCACAUGGAGGAUGACACUGGAAGAGAGAGUGCCGCUAGAGUUUUGAGCCCGAGCCACAUACAAGCCUGCGUCUGCCUCGUAUACCUUCGGAAUGAACACCGAAUGCUUUGUCUCCUUGUGUGAAACCUCAACUGGUGGUGGGAGAACAGAUUCCUGGGCCUCCCCUGAACAGUUGGUCCCCAGCUGCGUCCUGUGGCUGCAGAUGUGAAGGCUGAGGGAGGAGCUGGAAGGCUCCUCCACCUCCAUGUCACAUGGUGCGACGGGGGACUCUGGGCUUCCCGGAAGUGGAGGCAGGGAGAUGUCAUCAGGUUCCAAUUACGGUGAAACCCAGCUUCAGAGAGACAACUUGAGAAAACCCAGUCAGUUAAAGCCUAGGGGGCUGGCACAAGGAUUAUGCAAUUUGAAACCAUUUGCCUUCUAACCUGGGAACAGUCCCGUUCCAUGACUAAGGAAUCAUUAAGCUGACUUCAAGUCUCUGAGUGAAAUAUGAUAGACCUUGUGAAAUAGAAGAGAAAAAGCCGUCAUCGUCAUCUGUAAUGGAGAGGUCAGACUAGAUCGAUGUCUUUCAAACCACCAUCUGAGGAAUCUCCUCAGCCAGCAAAUUCUGCUUUGGUCUGGUUUAUUUGUCUACCCUCCAUUGCAACACAUAUUUCCUAAACAUCGGAGACCCCUGAAUUAGGUGAUCCCUCGAACCCUCCCAGGAUAACCACUCUUCGCUCUCAAGAAAGCCAUUUUUAAAAAAUUGUGAUAAGAUACACAUAACAUAAAAUUUACCAUUUUAACCAGUUUUAAAUAUGCAACUCAGUGGUAUUAAGUGCAUUCCCAUUAUUAUGCAACCACCACCACUACCCACCUCCAAACUUUUCAUCCUCCAAAACUGAAACUUUGCCUCAUUAAACAAUAACUUCUCAUUCUCUCUCUGACCAGUCCCCGGCAACCACCAUCCUAUUUUCUGUCUCUAUGAAUUUAACUACUCCAGAUACCUUAUAUUGAGAAAGCCAUUCUUAGUGACUGCUUUUAUUUUCCUAAAGCCCCUUAGUUUUAUUCUUACAUUGAAGAAAUAUUUAUUGAUCACCUACCAUAUACAAGGGUACUUCAAAAAGUUUAUGGAAAGAAUAGGAUUAAAAGAUAAUGUGAAUCUCCAUGAACUUUUUGAAGUACCCUCAUACUAGGUGCCAUGCUUGGCAUUAGAGGAACACUAUGUUGAGUAAAAGUAGAUACAGCUUCUGUGCUCGUGGAGAUGAUAGCCUAGAGGGGUAGGUAAUGUUAAUGGAACAAUCACAUGUUAUGGCCUUUAACAAGAGAGCACACCAAGAUACUGUGGAGGAAUGCCCGCCACUUAUCUCUCGGUCCCAUGUGGAGUGCAGGUCUGGCUAGCAGCAGGGAAUAGCAGGACUUCUUCUGUUUACACUGUCCUCAUCUUCCUCCUCACUAAUUCAUGUCCAUCUCUGGUUUAGGAAGAGGCUCAAAUGUCCCUUUUGGCAUCGAGUCAAAAGAACAUUGAAGCUGAAAGUGUUCUCGUCUACCCCAACUGGCUUGUUUUAUACCUACUUUCUGUGCCCUUCCUCAGCAUUUUGGAUGCAUUUUUACUUAAUUAGCAAGUGCUGGUUUUUGUUCUGUGGCUACUGCAUGCACAUGAGAGAGUCAUGUCUUGCCUUGACUGUGAGUUCAUUUUAGCCCAUGGUCCUGCUGUUGACACACACAUUAUAAGUGAUUUUUGAGAAACUAAAAGUGCUUUCAGGUUGGAAAGUAGAAGCAAAGCAAUAUUCUUUUUACUGCAGAGAUGGCCUCGCCUCAGGGAAAGCAUAAACCCAGCUUAGAGAAAGUGGUCUCCUUCAGCCAACUAGUAGAAGUUUAAAUUCUGAGUUUAAAAUGCAGUAGUUUUUAAAAGUCCCUCUGAUGAAAAGAAAAAAAAAAAAAAGACUAAAUAAACAUGUCCAGUAGGGAAUGCUCCUCUUUCUUUUAGUUUAGCUCAGCUUCUCUCUCUUCUUGAAAACAGAAUGUUUAUUUUCCUUCUCAUAGGAACUUUGAGCCUAUUCAGUUUAAGAAUCUCCUCCAUGACAUUCUGGCAGCCUCUAUUUGGACACUUUUCCUAAAAGGGUGCUUUCUUUGAGAAUUUUAUGUUUUAA
This is a long non-coding RNA of Cynocephalus volans (Philippine flying lemur), 2160 nucleotides long. RefSeq lists it as uncharacterized. The transcript is spliced from 3 exons. NCBI's taxonomy places the organism in Eukaryota, Metazoa, Chordata, Mammalia, Dermoptera, Cynocephalidae. The record is from RefSeq and is a predicted model, not a curated record.